This 26-nucleotide non-coding RNA is filed under the name Rattus norvegicus (Norway rat). The record is from RNAcentral. Lineage: Eukaryota; Metazoa; Chordata; Mammalia; Rodentia; Muridae.
UGGUACAGUUUGAGGACACAGUCCAC